This 253-nucleotide ribosomal RNA is filed under the name uncultured bacterium. RNAcentral's name for it is "partial 16S ribosomal RNA". It matches the Rfam family "Bacterial small subunit ribosomal RNA", at positions 524 to 776 of the family's 1533-position model. The record is from RNAcentral.
UACGUAGGGGGCAAGCGUUGUCCGGAUUUAUUGGGCGUAAAGAGCGUGUAGGCGGCCAAACAGGUCAGCUGUGAAAACUCGAGGCUCAACCUCGAGACGUCGGUUGAAACCGUAUGGCUAGAGUCCGGAAGAGGAGAGUGGAAUUCCCGGUGUAGCGGUGAAAUGCGCAGAUAUCGGGAAGAACACCCGUGGCGAAGGCGGCUCUCUGGGACGGUACUGACGCUGAGGUGCGAAAGCGUGGGGAGCAAACAGG